CUACGGGAUGCACCAGUGGGGAAUAUUGCACAAUGGGCGCAAGCCUGAUGCAGCCAUGCCGCGUGUAUGAAGAAGGCCUUCGGGUUGUAAAGUACUUUCAGCGGGGAGGAAGGGAGUAAAGUUAAUACCUUUGCUCAUUGACGUUACCCGCAGAAGAAGCACCGGCGAACUCCGUGCCAGCAGCCGCGGUAAUACGGAGGGUGCAAGCGUUAAUCGGAAUUACUGGGCGUAAAGCGCACGCAGGGGUUUGUUAAGUCAGAUGUGAAAUCCCCGGGCUCAACCUGGGAACUGCAUCUGAUACUGGCAAGCUUGAGUGUCGUAGAGGGGGGUAGAAUUCCAGGUUUAGCGGUGAAAUGCGUAGAGAUCUGGAGGAAUACCGGUGGCGAAGGCGGCCCCCUGGACGAAGACUGACGCUCAGGUGCGAAAGCGUGGGGAGCAAACAGGAUUAGAUACCCGUGUAGUC
Molecule: ribosomal RNA, 463 nt
Filed under: uncultured bacterium
Lineage: Bacteria
Description: partial 16S ribosomal RNA
Rfam family: Bacterial small subunit ribosomal RNA
Source: RNAcentral